UUGCUUCAGCAGCCCAUAUGCUAAAAUUAGAAUGAUACAGAGAAGAUUAGCAUGGCCCCUGUGCAAGGAUGACACACAAAUUCACAAAGCAUUCCAUAUUUUU
Molecule: small nuclear RNA, 103 nt
Organism: Monodelphis domestica (gray short-tailed opossum)
Lineage: Eukaryota; Metazoa; Chordata; Mammalia; Didelphimorphia; Didelphidae
Source: Ensembl